This 1334-nucleotide ribosomal RNA is filed under the name Diplococcium pulneyense. RNAcentral describes it as "bacterial SSU rRNA". It matches the Rfam family "Eukaryotic small subunit ribosomal RNA", at positions 82 to 1097 of the family's 1831-position model. The record is from RNAcentral. Lineage: Eukaryota; Fungi; Ascomycota; Sordariomycetes; Sordariales; Helminthosphaeriaceae.
CGAAACUGCGAAUGGCUCAUUAAAUCAGUUAUCGUUUAUUUGAUAGUACCUUACUACUUGGAUAACCGUGGUAAUUCUAGAGCUAAUACAUGCUGAAAAUCCCGACUCACGAAGGGAUGUAUUUAUUAGAUUAAAAACCAAUGCCCUCUGGGCUCACUGGUGAUUCAUAAUAACUUCUCGAAUCGCAUGGCCUUGCGCCGGCGAUGGUUCAUUCAAAUUUCUGCCCUAUCAACUUUCGACGGCUGGGUCUUGGCCAGCCAUGGUGACAACGGGUAACGGAGGGUUAGGGCUCGACCCCGGAGAAGGAGCCUGAGAAACGGCUACUACAUCCAAGGAAGGCAGCAGGCGCGCAAAUUACCCAAUCCCGACGCGGGGAGGUAGUGACAAUAAAUACUGAUACAGGGCUCUUUUGGGUCUUGUAAUUGGAAUGAGUACAAUUUAAAUCCCUUAACGAGGAACAAUUGGAGGGCAAGUCUGGUGCUGCUGACGCCAGAGAGAGUUGGGCGCGCGACAGCGGCCCGUUAGCUAGUCCCCAGCGGGCGAGGUACCCUGGAACGAGGAAGCCUUAGGGCGCUUGAUAGCGCUACGGCAAUCUCGUGGUGAUCUGUUACAGAACACCUUAACGCGCGGAAAGGUACCGGCGAGGAAGGAUCUCGCUCAAGGAACGUGCUGUCCCGCCUGAAAAGGCGCUCUGCUAUGCAAUCUGAAGGCAGCGGAGGGGUAGUCUUUCAGGCUGCCCGGUUCUUGCAAUGUAAGCUAGUUGCGCCCGGGAACAUGUUCCCCGGGGGUGCUUUAGCGCAAACAAAACGGCCAGCAGCCGCGGUAAUUCCAGCUCCAAUAGCGUAUAUUAAAGUUGUUGCGGUUAAAAAGCUCGUAGUUGAACCUUGGGCCUGGCUGGCCGGUCCGCCUCACCGCGUGCACUGGUUCGGCCGGGCCUUUCCCUCUGGGGAACCGCAUGCCCUUCACUGGGCGUGUCGGGGAACCAGGACUUUUACUUUGAAAAAAUUAGAGUGUUCAAAGCAGGCCUAUGCUCGGAUACAUUAGCAUGGAAUAAUGAAAUAGGACGCGCGGUUCUAUUUUGUUGGUUUCUAGGACCGCCGUAAUGAUUAAUAGGGACAGUCGGGGGCAUCAGUAUUCAAUUGUCAGAGGUGAAAUUCUUGGAUUUAUUGAAGACUAACUACUGCGAAAGCAUUUGCCAAGGAUGUUUUCAUUAAUCAGGAACGAAAGUUAGGGGAUCGAAGACGAUCAGAUACCGUCGUAGUCUUAACCAUAAACUAUGCGAACUAGGGAUCGGACGAUGUUAUUUUUUGACUCGUUCGGCACCUUACACGAAA